UGCCUAGCUCAGUUCACACAGCUACCAAGUUAGCACAGCUAGGCAUCGGAAGUUAAAUAUUUUCGUUUUUUGUUUUCAUAAAAAAAAUGGAAUGAGAUUAAUAUACCAUCUAAAUUUUGUGUCUUUUUUGUAAAUUCUCUGUUGAUCGCCGAAGAAAGAUGUACGAAGAAGAAAUGUUUCUUUCAGACAUCAGAAGUGGAAGGAUGAAGGGAGUGUGGUCCAAAGGAUAGCCAAGACUGAAGGAGGACGUCAAACAACAGGCUUCGAAUUCCUCUUGAAGCCACAGUCCUCUUAAAGCUUGAAGACAUCCAUUAAGGACACUCUGAGAAGUAUUAUCCUGCCCGGAACUUCCAACAGACUCUCCGACGAUCAGUGCCACUGUCAUGUGCUUGUAUCGUAAUUGUGAAGUGUACUGUCCUUCCUGUUCAUCUUUAUCCUUCUCGUUGACUCAAGACGUACUGGUUCAAGCCUAAAAAAUGAAGUGACCUCUGCUUUCGGACAAAGCUGGAUAACCAAGAAGCGCUUCGAUUAAAGAAAUCCAUGCCGAGUCCUGGAGCUAGAGGAUUAGCUUCUGUGGAACCAUUAACUCCAUGUUCAAAUGUACGUCCCAGGAACCUUUUGGCAAAAUUUGUUUGGCAAAUUAUACAAAUGCAGUUUACACUUUAAACACUUCUAUAUAACUUGGCAUGUUUAAAAACACAAAACUAAAACUAAAUACGAUGACUAAAUACGUUUGAAGUUUGGCAAAAAUCACAACUUGCUUAACAAACACCCUUGAGACGAUAUGAAACAUAAUGCUUGAGACGAUAUAUAUAUAUAUAUCUUUUUGAUAUAAGGCCCACUUUUAGAGACGAUCUAAUGGACAAUAGGGACACAUAAUCAUAACACUUGAUCCAUAACUGAGACGAUAUGAACCGGUCUGAGACAGAAUAGGGACCGAUUUAAAACGCAACUUAAUGUUAAUAAUGCUUGGCUUUCUUAAAACACAACUUUCCAAGACUUUUCAACAAACUCUCACACACAACACACAAUAGACACUCUCUUGGGAAGUUGUGUUGUCUGAAAUAUAUUUAAUAAUGUUUAUAUUUUA
This is a long non-coding RNA of Drosophila ananassae, 1090 nucleotides long. RefSeq lists it as uncharacterized. Lineage: Eukaryota; Metazoa; Arthropoda; Insecta; Diptera; Drosophilidae. The record is from RefSeq and is a predicted model, not a curated record. The transcript has 3 exons.